Molecule: ribosomal RNA, 468 nt
Filed under: uncultured bacterium
Lineage: Bacteria
Description: partial 16S ribosomal RNA
Rfam family: Bacterial small subunit ribosomal RNA
Source: RNAcentral
GGCGAACGCUGGCGGCGUGCUUAACACAUGCAAGUCGAACGGAAAGGCCCUGCUUUUGUGGGGUGCUCGAGUGGCGAACGGGUGAGUAACACGUGAGUAACCUGCCCUUGACUUUGGGAUAACUUCAGGAAACUGGGGCUAAUACCGGAUAGGAGCUCCUGCUGCAUGGUGGGGGUUGGAAAGUUUCGGCGGUUGGGGAUGGACUCGCGGCUUAUCAGCUUGUUGGUGGGGUAGUGGCUUACCAAGGCUUUGACGGGUAGCCGGCCUGAGAGGGUGACCGGCCACAUUGGGACUGAGAUACGGACCAGACUCCUACGGGAGGCAGCAGUGGGGAAUAUUGCACAAUGGGCGGAAGCCUGAUGCAGCAACGCCGCGUGCGGGAUGACGGCCUUCGGGUUGUAAACCGCUUUCGCAUGUGACGAAGCGUGAGUGACGGUAAUGGGUAAAGAAGCACCGGCUAACUACGUG